This 253-nucleotide ribosomal RNA is filed under the name uncultured bacterium. RNAcentral's name for it is "partial 16S ribosomal RNA". It matches the Rfam family "Bacterial small subunit ribosomal RNA", at positions 524 to 776 of the family's 1533-position model. The record is from RNAcentral.
UACGAAGGGUGCAAACGUUGCUCGGAAUUAUUGGGCGUAAAGCGCACGUAGGCGGCUUGUUAAGUCGGAGGUGAAAUCCUGGAGCUCAACUCCAGAACUGCCUUUGAUACUGAGGAUCUUGAGUUCGGGAGAGGUGAGUGGAACUGCGAGUGUAGAGGUGAAAUUCGUAGAUAUUCGCAAGAACACCAGUGGCGAAGGCGGCUCACUGGCCCGGUACUGACGCUGAGGUGCGAAAGCGUGGGGAGCAAACAGG